This is a non-coding RNA of Coffea arabica (coffee), 672 nucleotides long. The record is from RefSeq and is a predicted model, not a curated record. Lineage: Eukaryota; Viridiplantae; Streptophyta; Magnoliopsida; Gentianales; Rubiaceae.
UAAGCCUAUUUGUCACGCUAGAGUACUAAAGGCUACAAUGCACUUGCAAAUCGUCCACCAGAUAUUGAUGAAUUAGGUUAGAAUUACCUUUCUGACUACUCCUGUAGUCCAAAUUUGAUUUGCGCAUAGGCUGACUUUUGAUCUUUACUACUCUUAUUACUCAUAUCUUUAUUGAUUUUGAUCUUGGCUAAACUUCAUAAGUGCAGAAGAUGAGUGAGAGGAAUAAGAUCAAUAGUUCAAAGCAAAAACCACUCACACAAUUGGAACAAAAUCUAUUGUAAUUGCACAAUAACUUUCAGAGAGAGAAGAAUUCAAGAAAAGAGUAUAACAAGCCAAAAAGCACUCAGCUGAAUUGGAAAUGGCAGUUCAAUCCCAACAACUUAUGGAGAGGCUUGUAAACCAACAAAGUGAAAUGCAGAACCAAGACACAUCUACUCAUAUUGAAUGAUAUAUUGCACAUUUUAGAGUUUUGGAAGAUGAGUAGCCGAGGCUACUUAUUGACUCAAAGACUAGUUAUAGUGCUAUCUUAUGCUUAGGAAAUGUUUCGUAUAACACAAAAAUGUUUUGGGACUUGGAUUCGUUUUGUAUUGCUCCCUUGCCUUAUGUGAUACAACUCACUCUAAUACUACUUGUCAAACUCUUUAUAAUAUGAUGUUGCACAUGAUUAUGAUA